Molecule: small nuclear RNA, 122 nt
Filed under: Otolemur garnettii (small-eared galago)
Lineage: Eukaryota; Metazoa; Chordata; Mammalia; Primates; Galagidae
Description: U4 spliceosomal RNA
Rfam family: U4 spliceosomal RNA
About the family: U4 small nuclear RNA (U4 snRNA) is a component of the major U2-dependent spliceosome. The structure of U4 snRNA from yeast and human has been reported.
Source: Rfam by way of RNAcentral
AGCUUUGCGCAGUGGCAGUAUCGUAGCCAAUGAGGUUUAUCCGAGGUGCGAUUAUUACUAAUUGAAAUCAGCAGCUCCCUCAUUUUGUUUUAUUUUAUUUUUUUUGAGAUAAGCUCUCACUC